GUUGACCUCGGAUCAGGUAGGAAUACCCGCUGAACUUAAGCAUAUCAAUAAGCGGAGGAAAAGA
Molecule: ribosomal RNA, 64 nt
Filed under: Purpureocillium lilacinum
Lineage: Eukaryota; Fungi; Ascomycota; Sordariomycetes; Hypocreales; Ophiocordycipitaceae
Also listed under: 2 other names
Description: partial 28S ribosomal RNA
Rfam family: Eukaryotic large subunit ribosomal RNA
Source: RNAcentral